CAUUCUGCUGGGAGUAAAAUGCUAGAUCCCUAUCCUUCCUGGUUUGCCCUAAUCUGGAAAAAAAAUUAGGUCGAAGUUUUGCGUGAGUAUAUUUGCCGGGUGGUUUCGGCUAACGGCACUUUAACGUUUGGUGGAGACGAUUGGGAAACCGUGGAGAGAGGGGUCUCCCCUCCUCCCAGGCUCACUCACCUCGAUGGGGCCGACGAAGAGGAUCUUCACUUUCAACAUCCCCCUUUCGGGCGAGGCCGUAAAAGCCUCGGCCUCGCGUAGAAAGCCAACCCCACACAAGGACCGAAAGGGCGCCCCGAAUGAUGCGACCGAGUCCGCCCAAGCGAGCUAUGUGACGUUGCUAGGCGCGGUUGCUAAGGGCGGAGAGAAGGGGAUUCUCCCCAACUGAGCUGCGUAUGAAAGAGAGAAGGAUCUGCCCUAUCACAGCCGGACAUUUCCUCCAGAUGUGCAUAAUAGGAUCGCGUCCUCUAAAAGCCCCACAUCCUUUACGGGUUUACCGAUCCACAAGCCGCACUGUGUUCAAUCGGGCUUAUUUCCAGGAGUGAGUCGGCUGUCUGGCGACGGGCAGUGACCUCACUGGAUUUGAUAACCUGACAGAGCUUGCCUGUGGAACUCGAUACAGCCUGAGAAAGAAAAGUUGUGUAAAGUUCAGCUCCAAAGCGGUCUGCGUCGUUAUUUACUUCCGGAGCCCCUCAUCCAUCAACCAGACUCCCUUGGUGCACUCACAUUGGUGGGGGGCGACAGAGAUGGCAGAACAGGAGGACCUCCAGUGUCAACUCAUCUGCAAAAAAAAAAUCAAAUCCUCACCAAGAAUAUUAUUAUCGUUGUCAUGCGUAGCAUUGGUUAACCCUUUCCUCCUCCAGCUGCAGCCCCCCAAAAAACUGCCGCUUUUUUUUUAAAUGACAAUUUGGCUCCAAUUGAAGAUCUUUUUAAAAGAAGUAAACAAAUCUAAUUGCUGUGUUGGGGCAGGACUAAGCACAGAUCCACACCAUACACUUAACACACUUCCAGCGCGCAUUUAAAGCACAUGACUUCCCCCAAAGAAUCCUGGAAACUGGUUUUCCCCUGCACAGAGCUACAGAUUCCCAGCACCCUUUGCAGACUCCACAUCCCAUGAUUCUUUGGGGAAAUCCCGUGUUUUAAAUGUGCAUUGGGUGUGCUUUAAAUGUAUGGGUGGAUCUGUCCUUAGAGAUCUCAGUUUAGAGAUGUGAAGGCCCAGAAGCACCCCCCUCCACCAGAGAAAACUGGAAAAAUUGGGAGGAAAUGGGGGGAGGGUUUCCCCCCCUAAUUUUUCCAGUUUUUUUCCUGGGUCUUGACAUCUCCAUCUCAGUUUAUAGCAACAGGCCUAGGGGAACCCCAAGAUUUGCAGAAGCACUUUUUAUUUUCUAUUUUUAGGGGGGGGAACCCCUCUAGCUAGGGAGAGGGAAACCACCAUAACAUCCAAAUACCUACGUCAUCAGUGAGCAUAACAAACCAACAUCUAAAGAUGCCUAAUGCUUUCACCUGUCAGAAAAACAGUAUUGUUUUCAGAAAGGCACCGUUAAUUUCCUGGAAGGGCUCCACGUUUGAUCUAAGGUUUAAGAGUGUUUGACUAGGAUUUGGUAGACCAGAUUUCAGACUCCCCCUAAGCCAUGAA
Molecule: long non-coding RNA, 1645 nt
Organism: Rhineura floridana
Lineage: Eukaryota; Metazoa; Chordata; Lepidosauria; Squamata; Rhineuridae
Exons: 2
Source: RefSeq, a predicted model, not a curated record